Molecule: ribosomal RNA, 234 nt
Filed under: uncultured bacterium
Lineage: Bacteria
Description: partial 16S ribosomal RNA
Rfam family: Bacterial small subunit ribosomal RNA
Source: RNAcentral
UGGCGGACGGGUGAGUAAUGUCUUGGAAACUGCCCGAUGGAGGGGGAUAACUACUGGAAACGGUAGCUAAUACCGCAUAACGUCGCAAGACCAAAGAGGGGACCUUCGGGCCUCUUGCCAUCGGAUGUGCCCAGAUGGGAUUAGCUAGUAGGUGGGGUAACGGCUCACCUAGGCGACGAUCCCUAGCUGGUCUGAGAGGAUGACCAGCCACACUGGAACUGAGACACGGUCCAG